UCCCUGUAGGACCAGUGGUUAGGCCCCGGUGCUCGCACUGCCGCGGCCCGGGCUCGAUUCCUGGCCAGGGAA
This is a non-coding RNA of Pangasianodon gigas (Mekong giant catfish), 72 nucleotides long. Lineage: Eukaryota; Metazoa; Chordata; Actinopteri; Siluriformes; Pangasiidae. The record is from the annotation of a GenBank genome assembly.